UUGAGAGAGAGUUCAAAGGGCGUGAAACCGCUUAGAAUAAAACGGACGGACCCGUCUGAGGCCUGUCGGAAUCAGUCGAAUCGACGCGUGAAUACGAGCGCGGUGCAGUAAGGAACGAAAGUCCCGCCGCCUCGUCGAGUCGAGUAGCGCUCGUUCGACGCAUUUCUAACAGGUAAGCGCCGCGACCGGCGUUCGAGGCUAGCGAAACCUGCGGAUUGAGGGCGAGCGCGUUCGCGCGUCUCGUAACCAGUCGGGAGGUUCGAAUAUAAUUCUCUAUACCGAGGGGUCGAGAGAGAUAUAUAACUAUCGUCGACGGAAUUUAGCGUUCGCCCUAUACCCCCUAAGUGCGUUCGACCGGUCGUCGCCUGCUCGCAGGUUUCGGCUCGUGUCCCGUUCGUAUCGUAGGUUGUGGGCGACGUUUCGACGUUCGGGAGUCUGCGGCGUCCGAGUCGGUCACCCGUCCGACCCGUCUUGAAACACGGACCAAGGAGUCUAACGUAAGCGCAAGCUAAUGGGCGGAAAACCCAUAAGCGCAAUAAAAGUAAAAGUCGUCUCGGACGGCUUAGGUACGAUCCCGAGGGCGGAAUAUUUCCUCGGUCGCAGUACCGUCCCGUCCCGACCGCUCGUCGGCAGGGCGGAGAUAGAGUGAAUACGUUGGGACCCGAAAGAUGGUGAACUAUGCCUGAUCAGAGCGAAGCCAGAGGAAACUCUGGUGUAUGUCGUAGCGGUUCUGACGUGCUGAUCGAUCGUCGACUUGAGAUAGGGGGAAAGACUAUCGAACAUUAAUGG
RNAcentral lists this ribosomal RNA (789 nucleotides) under Xiphinema insigne. RNAcentral describes it as "partial large subunit ribosomal RNA". It matches the Rfam family "Eukaryotic large subunit ribosomal RNA", at positions 377 to 950 of the family's 3401-position model. The record is from RNAcentral. Lineage: Eukaryota; Metazoa; Nematoda; Enoplea; Dorylaimida; Longidoridae.